CCUACGGGUGGCAGCAGUGAGGAAUAUUGCUCAAUGGACGAGAGUCUGAACCAGCCAAGUCGCGUGAAGGAUGACUGCCCUAUGGGUUGUAAACUUCUUUUAUAUGGGAGUAAAAUGUUCCACGUGUGGGAUUUUGUAUGUACCAUAUGAAUACGGAUCGGCUAACUCCGUGCCAGCAACCGCGGUAAUACGGAGGUUCCGAGCGUUAUCCGGAUUUAUUGGGUGUAAAGGGAGCGUAGGUGGAUUGUUAAGUCAGUUGUGAAAGUUGGCGGCUCAACCGUAAAAUUGCAGUUGAAACUGGCAGUCUUGAGUGCAGUAGAGGUGGGCGGAAUUCGUGGUGUAGCGGUGAAAUGCGUAGAUAUCACGAAGAACUCCGAUUGCGAAGGCAGCUUACUGGACUGCAACUGACACUGAGGCUCGAAAGUGUGGGGAUCAAACAGGAUUAGAUACCCGGGUAGUC
This 460-nucleotide ribosomal RNA is filed under the name uncultured bacterium. RNAcentral's name for it is "partial 16S ribosomal RNA". It matches the Rfam family "Bacterial small subunit ribosomal RNA", at positions 338 to 795 of the family's 1533-position model. The record is from RNAcentral.